Molecule: non-coding RNA, 4913 nt
Organism: Coturnix japonica (Japanese quail)
Lineage: Eukaryota; Metazoa; Chordata; Aves; Galliformes; Phasianidae
Source: RefSeq, a predicted model, not a curated record
CAGUUAAAAACAUGGAAAUUAAAUGCUCAAUUAUUGUUAGAUGUCAAAACAAGAAUUAGAAAAAUGCAGCUUUGAAUUUUAUUCUGCAUUUAUGAAUUAUUGGUCACUCACAUUUAAGCAGAAAAUCACUUUACGACUGCUAUUUAGGCUGAGAAAUAUACAGCAUGUUUAGGUAGUAACUGAUAAAACUUCAUGCGUACAGGAUGCACAAAUUGAAGAGACUGAGUUUUCUGAGGCAGAGAAAAGACCAGGAAGCAUGUCCACUGUGAUACAGCUGAAAAUAUAACAGCAGCUCUCAGCAUCUCACUUUCAAAACUUCAAUAUUUUGAAGUAAAGAGAGAGAUGGAAAAUAUUCAAUUGUCCAUGGAACUCUUUGUUGUUCCAUCAGUCUCUUUCAAUCAAACCCUAAUGAACCAGGUCAUUUCAUCCACUUGAACCACUAUCAGCAGAAGAUUGGAGCAAUGGGGACACUAGAAAACUCCGUGGGAUCUUCCCCCCUCUGUGUCCCUCUCCACAUUCCUUUCCUUCUGCUCAAUGUAUCUGGUGAGGGCAGCUCUCAUCAGUGGGUCCUCUCUCCCAGUAUUCCCCCCCAUCUUGAUUUGAUGUAGGCAUGCAGAAUGGCAAGAGUCUCUGCAGUGCCUUUAUCCUCUCCCAUAGCUGGCUUUCUUCCUACUACUAUACUACUGUGAUGGCACAAAGCCAUAAGGAUAGUCCAGAGGAUCUGGCUUGCUCUUUAUUCUUUUUUCCCUCCCUGAUAAUUAUUUCUCCCAUUUGCUUAUUCUCGCAUUGCAUCUGAUUACUUUUUUUUUUAUGAUUCCACUUUGCUUUUGUCUUCAAUUUGCUAAAUCCUACUCUGCAUGUUGACAAAUGUAAACUGAAACUCACAGCUAUCUCAGUCUCUGAAGUCUCAGCUGUGCCUGAAGACAUAGUGAUUCAGACAUCAGGAUUCUUCCUGUUCAUUUUGUUUUCCAGCUAUUGGCAUGUAGAAUGAAGUGGAGGAGCAAGGAUGGGUUUCUGGAAGGUAUCUGCAAGCUGAAGUUUUAUUAGAUUUUUUUUUUUUUUUUUUUCAGUUAAUUGUGUAUGUCUUCAUCCCUGAAAAAAAGACACCCUGUGUCAAGGAAAACAUGAUUGAAUCCUGAACACCAGCAGCAGAACAGAUCCUGCUAUCAUUCAGCUGGAACCAGAAGAAACAAAUCAGACAAUGACUGUGGCAUCAGAGAUCCUCUCAGCUCUCAGGCACGGCACUAUCCAGGAUUGUAAAGAAUAAAGAUGAAACAGAUUAAAGAUGGGUGGAGGGAGGUACUAACUUCCUUCCAUGUCCUUCAUGAAAGCCUGGCUUUUUCUGCAAGAUGGGGAAUAAAUCACUGCUUAGUGCACAGAGGAGAGGUUUAUGUGGUUGUGUAGAGCCCAGCUUGAUGUAAUUGCACAGGUUACAUUCUCUGAUACUUUCUAGAUAGAAUCUGUUAACAAGUGAAUCCUAGACUAAGUUACUGCUUUAAAAAUCUCAUCUUGUAUGUACUGAAGGGAAAAAUCUUUAUUUCUGAAGCUAUUUUACUGGAGUGAACUGUAACUGAGAGGAUUCCCUGGAUUGCCUGUAAAAAAUCAUCACCAUAUGUAGGAGAAAUGUUGAUAGAUUAGAAAAGUGAUGAUAGAUUAGAAAGUCAGUGUUUUUAGGUGUUUGUUUUAGUUUUUCCCCACAGCCUGUACAAUGCCUCCAUGUUCCUAUUAAUUUCUUUUGGUUUAGUAACAUCUUAAUUCAGAGUAUUAGAAGUUGAUUUUUCUGAUUAAAAAAGGGUAAAAAUUCUGAGGAUCUCUUGUGGUUCCAUAGGGAAAGUUACAUCUUUACACAGAUAGAACAAACCUUUGGCACUCCUGUUCCAUUUCAGUAAAGUUAAGGUUCCAGAAGAAUGUGGGCUAAUGUCCUACAUGAUUAAUGCAUGCUUAAGGAGUAGCCUAGUGCAGCCACCACAGCAAACCAAACCCCAUACAGCAGCCUUGUUCAGUCCUUUCAAUAUGAAUGGCCAAAUGUAUUUCAGAAACCCAAAGGAUCACAAUCAGUCUGAAGCAGAUUGUCUGCUUUGUAGAGAGCAGAGAUUGCCCACAUGUUCCCCACAGGGGAUUCCCCUGGUGAAGUGGAAGUCCCCUGCAGCAUUAAGUCUGAGUAGACAUAUCCUGCACUUUUUUUCCUGAAGAUGCUGGCCAGACUGCCUGCUUUAGUCUAUACUUGAAAGGAAUAAGGGGGAAUGUCUGCAGUUUGAUAAGCUUAAGUCAUCCCUUCUGGUUUAUGGCACCUUCUAAUGCCAAUAAGGCAGCUAUUGGUGGCUAAGUUCCAAGGAAAAACAGUAAACUUUUGUCUUGUCCUGAAUGGUAACUGCUGUGGGGAAUAAAAGGCGGUUAUUGUCUUUAGGCCAAGGCAGACUCUGAUCAAAUCCUGUCUGCUCUUCCCUAAGCAACUCUUGCAGUGAAAAGAAAAAAGAACAGUGAGUGCCCAUCUUUUGCUUCAACCUGCAGUAAAGCAGGCAAUCAACAAAAGCAGCAGCUUCAGGCAGGGACAGGCACUCGAUGAUACCAUGAUGGUUUUGAGGCAGCAGAUGAACUCAUAGGGAGGCAGGGGGUAGGACCCUAUUGAAGCAUACACUUGAUUUUAAAAAGCUUCAGCACAAGUCUCAGUUCAAAAGAGACAGGGAUCUUCUAAGAAAGAGUGCAGCGGAGGGCCACAAAGAUGACAGUGGGCCUGGAGCAUCUCCCAUAUAAGAAAAGGCUGAGAGACCUGGGACAGUUCAGCCUGGAGAAGUCUGACAGGAGAUCUCAUAACUGUUUAUUGAUACCUGGGGUGUGGGAGUCAUGUUGAUGAGGGUGGACACACUUCAGUGGCUAGGAGUAGAAGAAGGAGCAAUGGACAGAACCUGGAACACAGAAAGCUCCAUACUAACGCAAGGAAGAACUUAUUUACUGUCAGUGUGAUGGAGCACUGGAACAGGCUAUGUGGAGAGGCUGUAGUCUCCUUUUCUGGAGACAUUCAAGAACCAUCUGGACAACUACCUGUGUGACCUGAGUGACUUGCUGUAGAGAACUUGCUUUAGCAAGGGGGUUUAACUUUUCUUCCCGAAUAUCCUUUCCACAGUUCAGGGCCCUAAUCAGUACUAGAGGACUUUUGGUCAUUCUUGGGCUCAAAUAAUCUCUGCCAUGCAAAAAUAACUCAGACUUUUUCUGUCAGUUGAGACCUGAGCAGAUAUGAGGUGAGAAUGCAUCUAAAUCUUAGCUUGGCUAAUGAAAUUCUCAGACGGGAUCAUAUGUUUCAAGUGAAAUUGAUCUGUACAGCUAGGUAUUAUUUAUACAGUGGAGGUACACAAAUAUUUGGCUGAGAAGUGUCUAUCUUAACCUAGUAAUUAGGAAGUUUCAAGGAACCAGCAAGAACAAGAUCUUCCACAAAUAUAGGUACCUAUCUCCACUUGGGACUUUUAGGUAGUGGUUUCCUAGAUUCGUCUCUUGUAAAUAAAUGAGCAGAAGACCCUUACACAUUUAAUCUUCUAGUGGUGAAGGCAUCACUGAGAAUGUAAGGAAUUGAGAUUUAAUUCUCUCUGCUGACUGAAAGGACAAAACCACUUGUUUAUACUCCCUGCAGUGUGUCUUAACCACUAUGGCAUUUUGUUGCCUUGUUUAUUUGUUCUCUCUCAUUGCAUCUCUUCUUCUACCUAAAAAGUAUCUGUGUCUACACUGGAUUGGAGCUGCAAAUGUGAGAGGCCUAACAAACAGCCUAAAAGUCAUUCUGCAUCUUUUGAUCUUUCACUCUUUUAAUAUUUAAUGAUCCCAUUCAAAUUGAACAGCAUUAGCAAAAGAAAUUAAGAAGUCUCACAUCCCCUUCCCAUGUCAUGGUCUGCUUUCAAGGCAGCAACCUGAAAUUAUGUAUCCCUUCAGGAAAACAAGUGCUUUGUGCCCAUGUCUCUGCCAUUCCUGGUGAGAAAUUUAACUGCUUCCCAGUGUUGUUUUAUUUGUUCUACCAGACCAGUAUCUGCAAGUGCUAUAGAAAAAUCAUAAUCAGACUUAGAAAUAGGAGUCAAAUUGCUCUAUGUGAUAGAGAGUUUGGGCUUCUACUCUCAAAAUCAAAGAUAUCACUUACCUAGAAAUAGAAAAUACAACAAGGCAUCAUUAUCUGGAAAAACAUACUGUAAUAACAAAAUUCAUGUUACUGACUCAUACAACUUUAGUUGUCAUGUAGUUAUGUAUAAAGAAAUCCUGUUUUUCAGAUAAGAACAAUUAUCUUGAAAAAAAAUGCUGUUUGGGAAAAGCAGAAAUCAGUCACUCCCAAGAAUGCCCACUAAUUCAGCUAGCUGAUUAUAUUCCACAAUCAGACUGCCAGUGUUUAUUACUCCUUUGAAACAAUGAAAGAUAUAAUUUGAUUUUGGAAGAAUUUCAAUAAUAGCUUUUCAUUGCAGCUUGGAUCAUGCAGUUGUACUGGACCAGAGAUCCCUGUUGUGGGGAAUACCAGCUAAAUGGCUUGUAUUGCUACAUCUCCCACAAGGUGAAAUGCCAGAGAAGAUCUGAGCAUCAUGGCUGCCUCAACAUCUGCUCACAAUACCCACAAAUCUGGAUCAGAAAUUGGUUGACAAUUUAGAUUUAAUAGUCUAGCCAUUACAGGCUUUUAAAAUGCAUUGAUAAGAGCACAAAAGUUAAAGAAGGCAAGUGAAAAGCACACAGGCUUCCCCUCACUAUGGUAGGCUAGGAUAGGCCUAGAAGCAGAUGUACAUUUUCUUCAUGAAAGUUUACUUCAAACUCCUCUGAAAUCAGUGCAAACAUUUCUGUUGACAUUAAUGUAGUUUGGAUCAAAUCCUAAUUGCCACUACAGAAACUUUUUGUCAAUGCUAUACAUUAUUUGCCAUGUAUGUAUUUUAAUAAAGCAUCUCUGAAUGUAC